RNAcentral lists this ribosomal RNA (497 nucleotides) under uncultured bacterium. Its description in RNAcentral is "partial 16S ribosomal RNA". It matches the Rfam family "Bacterial small subunit ribosomal RNA", at positions 28 to 507 of the family's 1533-position model. The record is from RNAcentral.
GAUGAACGCUGGCGGCGUGCCUAAUACAUGCAAGUCGAGCGAACAGACGAGGAGCUUGCUCCCCUGACGUUAGCGGCGGACGGGUGAGUAACACGUGGAUAACCUACCUAUAAGACUGGGAUAACUUCGGGAAACCGGAGCUAAUACCGGAUAAUAUAUUGAACCGCAUGGUUCAAUAGUGAAAGACGGUUUUGCUGUCACUUAUAGAUGGAUCUGCGCCGCAUUAGCUAGUUGGUAAGGUAACGGCUUACCAAGGCGACGAUGCGUAGCCGACCUGAGAGGGUGAUCGGCCACACUGGAACUGAGACACGGUCCAGACUCCUACGGGAGGCAGCAGUAGGGAAUCUUCCGCAAUGGGCGAAAGCCUGACGGAGCAACGCCGCGUGAGUGAUGAAGGUCUUCGGAUCGUAAAACUCUGUUAUUAGGGAAGAACAAAUGUGUAAGUAACUAUGCACGUCUUGACGGUACCUAAUCAGAAAGCCACGGCUAACUACGUG